UGAACAGAAAGAAAUCUCAUUACAGGGAGAACUGGGAACUCCAUGAUAAGAAAGGGUUACAUAAUUAGCAGAAGGGAGGAGCUUCAAAUCCUGGCAAUCUAACACAGAGAUUGUUCACUUAAGACUACACAGUACUACUUGUGAAACAAAACUGGCAGAAGGUAAUAAAGUGAAAAGGCUGAAGGGGCAUGGAAAUGCAAGAGGCCAGCGAGCCAGUGGAGAGGGCGCCUCCGCCUUCAGUCCCAGUCAGCUACACUUACACGUUC
Non-coding RNA from Macaca mulatta (Rhesus monkey), 266 nucleotides. The record is from RefSeq and is a predicted model, not a curated record. Lineage: Eukaryota; Metazoa; Chordata; Mammalia; Primates; Cercopithecidae.